Molecule: ribosomal RNA, 167 nt
Filed under: Cyphellaceae sp.
Lineage: Eukaryota; Fungi; Basidiomycota; Agaricomycetes; Agaricales; Cyphellaceae
Description: partial large subunit ribosomal RNA
Rfam family: Eukaryotic large subunit ribosomal RNA
Source: RNAcentral
CGGUAAAAGCUCAAAUUUGAAAUCUGGCUCUUUUAGAGUCCGAAUUGUAAUCUGGAGAAGCGUUUUCCGCGUUGGACCGUGUACAAGUCUCUUGGAACAGAGCGUCAUAGAGGGUGAGAAUCCCGUCUUUGACACGGACCCCCAAUGCUUUGUGAUACGCUCUCGAA